This is a non-coding RNA of Cinara cedri, 672 nucleotides long. The record is from the annotation of a GenBank genome assembly. NCBI's taxonomy places the organism in Eukaryota, Metazoa, Arthropoda, Insecta, Hemiptera, Aphididae.
AUUUCAUCGAGUAGUGUAUUAAAUUGUCUACGAUUCAAUGUACAGGAUCUAAACCAAUUCACUGUUUUAAUAACUAUACCCAUAACAUGUAACAUUUUAAUUUUUUUCGAACAUAAAGAUUCUUGAUGGAUUAUACAAUGGAGACUUUUCAAAUCUACACCAUAAGCCAUAGCUUUUGAUUUUAAUCGAGAAAUCAAUCCUGUUUAUACACCUAACAUUGCGGGAGCUCCAUCAGUAGUAAUAGUCAAAAAAUUAUUCCAAUUUACUUUUAAUUCAUUAAGACACUUUUCAACACAGUCAUAUAAAUCACUACCGGUUGUUGUGUUAAUCAUAGGAAUCAAGUCCAAGAGUUCUUCAGUUACAUCAAAAUUAUCGAAAACUCCGCGAAUAAAAAUAGCCAACUGGGUGGUAUUGGUAAUAUCAGUACUUUCGUCAAUAACAAUAGAAACAUUUAAAAAUCGUUUUUUUCUAAAGUGAAUAAAUAAGGUUUUUUCGUUUUUAGAGGAUAAAAAUAAAAAGGUAAUUUUUCUCCAAAUUGAUGUUCCCUUCGAAAACUAACUGAUUGAAAAAAAAAAUAAAAUCAAAAAAAUUUAAUAUUAACAGCGCUAGAAAAAUCUGUCGAACUAUAUUAUGAUUUACUUUUCACAUUAUACAUCCAAAGAACCUUUGGAU